AUUGAACGCUGGCGGCAUGCUUUACACAUGCAAGUCGAACGGUAACAGGCCUUCGGGUGCUGACGAGUGGCGAACGGGUGAGUAAUGCAUCGGAACGUGCCCAGAGGUGGGGGAUAACGCGGCGAAAGCUGUGCUAAUACCGCAUGUGAUCUGAGGAUGAAAGCGGGGGACCAAGCAGCAAUGUUUGGCCUCGCGCCUCUGGAGCGGCCGAUGUCAGAUUAGGUAGUUGGUGGGGUAAAGGCCUACCAAGCCGACGAUCUGUAGCUGGUCUGAGAGGACGACCAGCCACACUGGGACUGAGACACGGCCCAGACUCCUACGGGAGGCAGCAGUGGGGAAUUUUGGACAAUGGGCGCAAGCCUGAUCCAGCAAUGCCGCGUGCGGGAAGAAGGCCUUCGGGUUGUAAACCGCUUUUGUACGGAACGAAAAGGCUCUGGCUAAUACCUGGGGCUGAUGACGGUACCGUAAGAAUAAGCACCGGCUAACUACGUG
Molecule: ribosomal RNA, 492 nt
Filed under: uncultured bacterium
Lineage: Bacteria
Description: partial 16S ribosomal RNA
Rfam family: Bacterial small subunit ribosomal RNA
Source: RNAcentral